Molecule: ribosomal RNA, 292 nt
Filed under: uncultured prokaryote
Description: partial 16S ribosomal RNA
Rfam family: Bacterial small subunit ribosomal RNA
Source: RNAcentral
GUGUCAGCCGCCGCGGUAAUACGGAGGGUCCAAGCGUUAAUCGGAAUUACUGGGCGUAAAGCGUGCGCAGGCGGUUUGUUAAGCGAGAUGUGAAAGCCCCGGGCUCAACCUGGGAAUUGCAUUUCGAACUGGCAAACUAGAGUCUUGUAGAGGGGGGUAGAAUUCCAGGUGUAGCGGUGAAAUGCGUAGAGAUCUGGAGGAAUACCGGUGGCGAAGGCGGCCCCCUGGACAAAGACUGACGCUCAGGCACGAAAGCGUGGGGAGCAAACAGGAUUAGAUACCCCUGUAGUCC